UACAUUGUUGCCUCUUUAAAUCUCAACGACAUAUUUGCUUCUUCAAUUCUUGGGUUUUCUCCCAAAAUUUUCUUUUUUCCCUUCUUUUGCAUUUCCCUUUUGGAUUUCAAAGAAUAGGCAAGUUCCCUUUGCUGCUUUCUUCUUUGCUUCUUCUCUUUAUUGAUAUUUUCAUUGUAGUUUUUCGAAAAAUGAAAUUGACUUAAUCCAAAUAGGAAUAUUUUGGAUUUUGCUUUUUUCUAAAAAAAAUUAUUUUUAUGGUUUUUUUUCAUUUUUGUUUCCUAUUGUGUAUUAUGGAAUUGAUUUAUUUUUGUUUAACAUUUUUAUUUAAUAUGGAUUUUAUAUAUUCAAUUAUGUUUAGUUGUUUUGCAGAUUUGAGAUUUUUUACUAAGGUUUUGACUCUUAUAUUUUGAGGAUUAUUUUUGUUUUCUUUUUCUUGAAAAGGAAUGUACGCAAAAUGUGGUAGUGGUGAUGAGCUUUCUUCAACAUGUCGAGCAACAAAAGGACCUAAAGUGGUUACUGGUUUGGGUGCAAGACUGCUUGCAAUUUUUCUAAGGUGCCUUAUGUUUUGGACACAAAAGAAUUUUUUUGUUUUAGGUGAAACAAAAAUUAAUCUCUGAUUAGAACAAAGAAUGACAUAAUCGGGCAACAAUUUCAAAAGGUAAUUCAAUUAUACUACAAAAGGCAACAACGAUAUUGAAUAUUACUUUUGGCACAUACUUCGAUGACAUAAGUAAAUAUGGUAUGUCUAUAUCCAUUUGUCGUUAUGGUAGGUUUGUAGCUAUAUCUACUUAUGUCAUCGAAGUAUAUGCCAAAAGCAAUCUCAGAUAUCGCUAUUGCCUUCGUAGUAUAAUUAAAUUAUCAUUUGAAAUUGUUGUCCGGUUAUGGCAUUGGUUGUUUUGAUUCGAGGCUAAUUUUCGUUUCACUCAAAACAAAAAAAUCUUCCGUUUCCAAAACAUUGACACCUAGGAAGAAUUGCAAGCAGUCUUGCACUCCAAACUGUUGAAGUUUUUGGCUUACUUGUUCCAUGUUCUAUUAGAAUAAAGAACAAAUUCUGCAUAGGUCCUAGGCUAUUUCGGCCUCAUAUGUUUGAUAAAAUAACAGUUGGUUUUUGUCUAAGACUCUUCAUAUGAUCAUAUUAAGAAGUUUUAAAGUGUUGAAAAUGUUUAUCCUUAUCAUUAUCCUUACCUCUUAAGAGAGUUUGGGAGUUAUUGAAUAAAUACUCCAGGAUAAUCAAUUGGAUAAUUUCAAGUUUUAAAUAGGAAUUUAAAGCUUC
RNAcentral lists this long non-coding RNA (1273 nucleotides) under Gossypium barbadense (sea-island cotton). RNAcentral's name for it is "long non-coding RNA (GBAR_LNC008800)". The record is from RNAcentral. Lineage: Eukaryota; Viridiplantae; Streptophyta; Magnoliopsida; Malvales; Malvaceae.